UGGAAUGUUUUUUUCUUAAAAAACUUCGAGAGAGAAAAACCCUUUUGAUAAUUAAAUCCCAGCCUGAGAAAGAUAUUUCCAUUAAAGAGACAGAUUUUCUGUGCGAGAAUUCAGGAAAGGAGCAGUAUCUUUAUUGGAAGUUGUGUUUAGCAGGUGAUGACAAGUGGUUUUAUCUCCUUCWCUUGCUCUCCCUUCUCCCUGGGCCCUGCCUUUCAGAUUUGGGGAUAUCUGAGCYGGUUCCUGAAAAGACUCUUCCUCCAUAACAUCACUAAAGGCAAACCUGAUGUAAUUGUCAGUAUUUUGGCCUACAAAGUUCUGCUGACACCACCUGAUGCUGUCAUAACAGAAAAAUGUUUUUUUCUGGAUCUCUCUUUAUCUCACAGCUUCUGUUUCUCAGCGCUCAAUGUUAAUGGAGAAGUUGUGGUAGAAAAUCUGGAUGGAAACUUCUGUCCCAGAAACCACUAUGAGUUGUUUGCUUUGUCCUGUUCCUUUUCUGUUUGUAACCCUUCAUCGUCCCUUUCCUGCCUUCUACAAUGUAAAGAAGAAGCUAAGAUCAGCUGGUGAAGGGUUUCCUGUAUUUAUUACAUCAUUUAGAGGCAAUAUGAACAUCUGCACUUUCCAUUAGUCACUCACUAAAAGGCCAAAGAGAAAUCAUCCCCAAGGUCACAGGAAAGGCAAGGGUUACCAUUGCUCUAGGCCAAGACAUUACAAUACUGAUGAUGACAAAACUAUUUGGCAGAGAUGCCAACAAUGCCAGAAAACAAGCCACCAUCCUAAUCAAGGGCAGUAUUUUGAUUGCUCAGAAAGCCAGCCCAGCUCCCUGCUGUCAGACUGUGACAAUCCCCAGCUGGCAGCCCCGGGCUGAUGGGCUGUGUCCCCAGCCCAGUGCCAUUCCAGCUCCCCAAAGUGCUUUGCCAAGGCUGGGAGAGUCUGUACACACACAGCUCCCAGGGGCUGUACCUGGAUAAACAGCAACGUGGACAUUGUGCAGGAGAAAUUCCCCAAGAGCACAGGAGCCAGCACAAGAAAUGCAGUUUGGAUCACUCAGGGUGGCUGCAGCACAUCUCCACCACCUUUCCUUGCUGACGUGGUCCUUGCUUGUUCCAAACAGGUGCUUCAUUCUUCCCCUGGCACACACGACUGGCUCCAGGGCACGUGGAAGGAAAGGUGGCAAGCUGAAAACCAAGAGAAACUCCUGGGAAAUAAGCAUGGUGGCAAAGAGCAAAGCACAACCUUCCUGAACACAGACAUUCUCCCUGCUGGCAGCUGCAGAGGAGCAGCUCUGUGUUAAGCAAUGCUUACGGUGUGCCCAGGGCAUCAAACCAGAAAAUCUGAGACAGAGGGCCCAGAUGCAGAAUUUCCUGCUCUAACCUGAACCAARUGCCCCUGAAUGCAGCUCCCCUCGAGAUGUCCCUGUUCACAGCCUCGCUGGUGGCCAGCAUCCAGACUGAGCAUUAGUAAAACUAACAAACCAAACAGUUCCCACACAGGGACCACCAUUUCUCCAUGGUUCUGUACCUGSAUAGCCUUGCAGUGCCACCUUCUCUAGGAUUUUCAGUGGAAUCCGGGACACUUGGUUUGGUGAUCCACAGCUGCUCCAUUCCACCUCUUGGAUAAUGCUGCUGAAGUCCACCAGAAGGAGCCUUUGUGUGUCAGUUUUGCAUAAGCCCUAAAGAGAAUAUUAACAUGUUCUCCUGUUAUUGCAGGARAAGCACAGGGUGGUGUCAGCAAAGUGGCUCUGCCAAGCUCCUGCAGUUUUGAUCUGAUGGCUGGAUUUUAUCUGUCGGUGCUUCGUGGAGGAGGAUGAUUGCUUAUCACAAGGACGGGGAGGAAAAAAAUAGAAGAAAAUUAAUUAACUUCCAUAAAGGAUGUGGCAGAACGGAGGCGGCCUCCCCCAGCCACGGCAGCAGCACCAGGGGGUUUGUGGUGUUCAUUUAGCUUUAACUCCUUUCUUCUGCUCUGCCUGUAAGAGAACUCCUGUUYCUGCCUCGAGGGAAGAAGAGGAGCUGGGGUUUCACCUUUGAGAAAUGUGGGGCUCAUAUUUGAAGAAGAAAAAGCUUGUGCUGUUUCUGCCCCCCUGACCAGUGCAAGCAUCGAGAACAGAGAUUCUGCUGGUCUCCAUGGAGAACUUUGCCAGCCCUGCCUGCCCUGCAGAGGAGCCCGAGUCUGGUUGGAUGAUUUGAAUCCUUGCCAUCMUUUGGAGCAGAAUGAAGCUCUGUAAAGGGACGGUGACUGAAUGCCAACUGGGCUGUCAUUAGCUCGGGCGGCCCAGGAAGCAGCUGAUGUGCAGUUUGUGGUGGAAGUCAUGCAGACACAAGGGGUGACUCAGUGGUGGAGAGGACCCAGCCCCAGGGUCCGACCCCAAAGGUGUGUUGGGGGCUGGCUGUUGGGAUGGACCAGGGACAGCUGGUGGCUGCACAGAACACAAAGCUCCAUGGACCAUCCAUUURCAGAAAGCUGUCAAUUCUGCAGCGAUGUUGGGUGCUGCUGGCCCAGCUCCAUCUUUCUUCCACAGUAAUCAAAGGAAAUGUGCCCUAGUCUUGAAGUCUGGUGCUUCAGGACUGAAAAGCUUAAUGGCUUUCCUUGGCUUUUUUUUUUUUUUUUUUUUUUUUUUUUUUUUUU
Molecule: long non-coding RNA, 2622 nt
Organism: Malurus melanocephalus (red-backed fairy wren)
Lineage: Eukaryota; Metazoa; Chordata; Aves; Passeriformes; Maluridae
Exons: 5
Source: RefSeq, a predicted model, not a curated record